This 252-nucleotide ribosomal RNA is filed under the name uncultured bacterium. RNAcentral describes it as "partial 16S ribosomal RNA". It matches the Rfam family "Bacterial small subunit ribosomal RNA", at positions 524 to 776 of the family's 1533-position model. The record is from RNAcentral.
UACGGAGGAUGCGAGCGUUAUCCGGAUUUAUUGGGUUUAAAGGGUGCGUAGGCGGGCUUUUAAGUCAGCGGUAAAAAUUCGGGGCUCAACCCCGUCCGGCCGUUGAAACUGGGGGCCUUGAGUGGGCGAGAAGAAGGCGGAAUGCGUGGUGUAGCGGUGAAAUGCAUAGAUAUCACGCAGAACCCCGAUUGCGAAGGCAGCCUUCCGGCGCCCUACUGACGCUGAGGCACGAAAGUGCGGGGAUCGAAUAGG